UACGGGGGGAGCGAGCGUUAUUCGUCAUGACUGGGCGUAAAGGAGAUCUGCAGGUGGCGAUAAAAAUUUUUUAUUUAUAAAGCCUUAUGGGAAGUCAUGAGGAGGGUGAUAUUUAAAUUUUUAUGAGCUAAGAGUAUACUGGAUGAUUAUAGUACCUACAGUGGAGAGGGUGGAAUUCGGAGAUACUGUUUAGGGACUCGCAAUAUGUGAAGACGAUAAUCGUCGGUAUUACUGACGCUUGAGGGGUGAGAGCAUGGGGAGCAAACAGG
RNAcentral lists this ribosomal RNA (269 nucleotides) under uncultured bacterium. RNAcentral describes it as "partial 16S ribosomal RNA". It matches the Rfam family "Bacterial small subunit ribosomal RNA", at positions 524 to 776 of the family's 1533-position model. The record is from RNAcentral.